Long non-coding RNA from Rosa chinensis, 261 nucleotides. RefSeq lists it as uncharacterized. The transcript is spliced from 3 exons. Lineage: Eukaryota; Viridiplantae; Streptophyta; Magnoliopsida; Rosales; Rosaceae. The record is from RefSeq and is a predicted model, not a curated record.
GAAGCAGCUCUUCGUUCUAAAAUUGGGAGUCCAGUACAAGGCCAUUGAAUUGGACCAAGAGAUUGACAAAACAUGUUUGUGGCAUAUGCAAGAAGUGGAAUCAGCCUGACAGUGGAAGUUGGGUUGUUGAAGGCCCUUGUGACUCUGUGCCUAUUCCUGACGGGGCAGCUCUAUCAGCAUUUCAGUACUUCGAAAACGUCAGAAAUUUCCUUGUGGUUGUGGAGGAAUUGGGGCUUCCAACCUUUGAAGCCUCUGAUUUGG